AGGGGUGUAGUUUAAUGGUAGAAUAGAGGUCUCCAAAACCUUUGAUGAAGGUUCGAUUCCUUCCGCCCCUG
This 71-nucleotide transfer RNA is filed under the name Candidatus Roizmanbacteria bacterium CG_4_9_14_0_2_um_filter_38_17. Its description in RNAcentral is "tRNA-Trp". It matches the Rfam family "tRNA". Rfam says of the family: Transfer RNA (tRNA) molecules are approximately 80 nucleotides in length. Their secondary structure includes four short double-helical elements and three loops (D, anti-codon, and T loops). Lineage: Bacteria; Candidatus Roizmaniibacteriota. RNAcentral also lists the same sequence under 1 other name. The record is from RNAcentral.